UGGGGAAUAUUGCACAAUGGGCGGAAGCCUGAUGCAGCGACGCCGCGUGGGGGAUGAAGGCCUUCGGGUUGUAAACUCCUUUCGACAGGGACGAAGCUUUUGUGACGGUACCUGUAUAAGAAGCACCGGCUAACUACGUGCCAGCAGCCGCGGUAAUACGUAGGGUGCGAGCGUUGUCCGGAAUUACUGGGCGUAAAGAGCUCGUAGGUGGUUUGUCGCGUCGUCUGUGAAAUUCCGGGGCUUAACUCCGGGCGUGCAGGCGAUACGGGCUGACUUGAGUGCUGUAGGGGAGACUGGAAUUCCUGGUGUAGCGGUGAACUGCGCAGAUAUCAGGAGGAACACCGAUGGCGAAGGCAGGUCUCUGGGCAGUAACUGACGCUGAGGAGCGAAAGCAUGGGUAGCGAACAGGAUUAGAUACCCUGGUAGUCCAUGCCGUAAACGGUGGGCGCUAGGUGUAGGGGGCUUCCACGUCUUCUGUGCCGUAGCUAACGCAUUAAGCGCCCCGCCUGGGGAGUACGGCCGCAAGGCUA
Molecule: ribosomal RNA, 530 nt
Filed under: uncultured bacterium
Lineage: Bacteria
Description: bacterial SSU rRNA
Rfam family: Bacterial small subunit ribosomal RNA
Source: RNAcentral